RNAcentral lists this ribosomal RNA (2964 nucleotides) under Triticum aestivum (bread wheat). RNAcentral describes it as "partial small subunit ribosomal RNA". The record is from RNAcentral. Lineage: Eukaryota; Viridiplantae; Streptophyta; Magnoliopsida; Poales; Poaceae.
ACUAUUCUUGAGCGCUCGUUUGCGGCACAGUCGCAGGCUCGUGUAUCUGGGCUCCGUCGCCAACUUGGGGAGUGUCAGAAGCUUGACUCCACCGCCACUGAGUUCUACAACAAAGUCAAGAGUCUCGCCGACACGCUGGCCUCCAUUGGACAACCCCUCACCGACUCCGAGUUCAACUCGUUUAUUGUCAAUGGUCUUGAUGAGGAGUAUGACGCCCUAGUCGAGAUCAUCAAUGAGAGGGGCAACUCCACGCCCAUGCCAGCACACGAGGUCUUUUCACGCCUCCUGCUUACUGAGCAACAAGUCGAGACGCGCCGCUCCAGGGGCAACGGCGCCCUCUCGGCAAACGCCGCCACCAAGGGUGGUCGCUCCUCUGCUUCAUCCAGGGCUCCUUCGGGGCAGUCACCACCACCCGCCUUGGCCCCUCCUCCUACUGCGACGCUACCAGGGGCUGGCGGUCCACGUGUGUGCCAGCUUUGUGGUCGCGAUGGGCACUGGGCCUCGAAGUGUCACAAGCGCUUCCAGCGGGGUUUUCUUGGUCUCGGCAAUGACGGGAAGGAUACACGCAACUUUGCUCGUCAGGUCGCCAUGGCUGAUCGUCCGCCGCCGCAAAAGCCACAGGGACACACUCAGUCCUACUCCAUUGAUCCCCACUGGUACAUGGACUCUGGGGCGACAGAGCACCUGACCAGUGAGAUGGGGAAGCUUCACACUCGUGAACCCUACCAUGGCUCCGACAAGAUCCACACCGCCAAUGGAGCAGGUAUGCACAUCUCUCAUAUUGGUCAAGCAUCACUUCUCACUAGACAUGCCAAUAGGAGUCUUCAACUUCGCAAUGUUCUUCGAGUUCCAUCUGUGACACGUAAUCUUCUUUCAGUUUCUAAACUCACUCGUGAUAAUAAUGUGCUUUGUGAAUUUCAUCCUUUUGAUCUUUUUAUUAAGGAUCGGGGCACGAGGGACAUUCUUCUUAGUGGGCGGCUCUGCCAAGGUCUCUAUCGUCUGGAGCAUCCUGGCGUCGCUCGCGUGUUCAGUGGAGUUCGGGUAUCUCCGUCACAGUGGCAUGCUCGUCUUGGUCACCCGGUCACACCUAUUGUCCGGCAUGUUUUGCGUCGUCAUGAGCUUCCUAGUGUGUCUAGUAAUAAAGAUGUAGCAGUGUGUGAUACUUGUCAGCAGGGGAAAAGUCAUCAACUUCCUUUUUCGGAGUCCAGUCGUGAGGUGAAACAUCCUUUAGAACUUGUGUUUUCAGAUGUAUGGGGUCCUGCUCAGACUUCUGUUAGUGGUCAUAAUUACUAUAUCAGUUUUGUUGAUGCUUACAGCCGCUUUACCUGGCUUUAUCUUAUCAAACGUAAAUCUGAUGUGUUUGACAUUUUUGUUCAGUUCCAAAAACAUGUUGAACGCCUUCUCAAGCACAAAAUUGUUCAUGUUCAGUCGGACUGGGGUGGCGAGUAUCGUAACCUCAACUCCUACUUUCAGUCGCUUGGGAUCACUCACCGUUUAGCAUGUCCACAUACACAUCAGCAGAAUGGUUCAGUAGAAUGUAAGCAUCGUCACAUUGUUGAAGCUGGUCUGACUCUUUUGGCCCAUGCAUCUGUUCCGUUUCGUUUUUGGAGUGAUGCUUUCACCACUGCAUGUUUUCUCAUCAAUCGUACUCCCACUCGUGUUUUGAAUAUGAAGACUCCCAUUGAAGUUCUCCUUAAUGAACAACCGGACUACACCUUUCUCAAGGUGUUUGGGUGUGCUUGCUGGCCCCAUCUCCGUCCAUAUAACAAGCGUAAGCUCGAGUUUCGUUCCAAGAAGUGUGUUUUUCUUGGUUAUAGCUCUCUUCAUAAAGGAUACAAAUGUCUUCAUGUGCCCACUAAUCGUGUCUACAUCUCUCGGGAUGUUGUGUUUGAUGAGCAUGUUUUUUCCUUUGCCAAACUCCCUGUGUCCACUACCGAGCCACCUGUCAUGCAUUCCUCCUCUGUUGCUUCUGACCAAUUUGAUGAUGUUGCAUAUUCUCCUCUAUUGUUGCCUAACCAUGGUGCAGGCACUGGUCGUGGGGCUCGUUUGGAGAUUCUGGAAGUGACAUCUUCCUCUUCGUCGCCAUCGCCUUCAUCCUCGGCACCUUCUGUUGUGCAUGAGGAGCACAUGGCGCCCCUGCAUGGCCUCGGGUUCCGUGCUCAUGCACGGCCGAUCGACGUCCUGGCCCGGUCGCCUCUGGCUUCUGGGCUGCCUUCGCCAUCGUCGCGCCCUGCAACCCCGCCGACUGGGCCGGCCUCCUCGGUCCCCGUCUCGCCCAGGGCGUCGGGGCAGUCAUCACCCGGCCUGGCCUCGCCCGCCCCUGCCUCGCCCAGGGUGUCUGGUCCCUUCUCACCAGGGCCGGCCUCGCCUGCUCUCGCCUCGCCAAGGCCGUCUGGGCCGGUGUCACCGGAGCUGGCCUCGCCCACUCUCGGUUCGCCCAUGGCCUCUGAGCCCCUGUCGUCGGGCCAGUCUUCGCCAUGCAGCCCGGAGUCGUCUGUCCCGAGCUCGCCUGAGGUGAUUCCUGCAUCUCCGGCGACCGUCACGUCUCCGUCACCUUCGCCUCCGCCGGCUCCUGCUGCUGCUCUACGUCCACAUACGCGCAGUCGGAGUGGCAUUUUUCAGCCUAAGCAACGUCACGAUGGCACAGUUGCUUGGUUAGCAGCGUGCAUGUCUGCUGCUCUCGCAGAUCCAUCCUUUGAGCCACGCACGUAUCAAGCUGCUAUGUGCAUUCCUCAUUGGAGAGAGGCCAUGGAGCAGGAGUAUCAAGCGCUUCUUCGCAAUCAGACAUGGACUCUUGUUCCUCCACAAUCACGGGUAAAUGUCAUUGAUUCCAAAUGGGUUUUCAAAGUGAAGAGGCAUUCUGAUGGGUCCAUUGAGCGCUAUAAGGCUCGUCUGGUUGCUCGUGGUUUUCGACAGCGUUUUGGACUUGACUAUGAAGACACCUUCAGUCCAGUGGUCAAGCCU